This 439-nucleotide ribosomal RNA is filed under the name uncultured bacterium. RNAcentral's name for it is "partial 16S ribosomal RNA". It matches the Rfam family "Bacterial small subunit ribosomal RNA", at positions 339 to 795 of the family's 1533-position model. The record is from RNAcentral.
CUACGGGACGCUGCAGUGGGGGAUAUUGCACAAUGGGCGAAAGCCUGAUGCAGCAACGCCGCGUGAAGGAAGACGGUUUUCGGAUUGUAAACUUCUAUCAGCUGGGAAGAAAAUGACGGUACCAGACUAAGAAGCCCCGGCUAACUAUGUGCCAGCAGCCGCGGUAAUACAUAGGGGGCAAGCGUUAUCCGGAAUUACUGGGUGUAAAGGGUACGUAGGCGGCUGAUCAAGUCAGAUGUGAAAGCCCGGAGCUCAACUCCGGGAUUGCAUUUGAAACUGGUCGGCUAGAGUGCAGGAGAGGAAAGUGGAAUUCCUAGUGUAGCGGUGAAAUGCGUAGAUAUUAGGAAGAACACCAGUGGCGAAGGCGGCUUUCUGGACCGUAACUGACGCUGAGGUACGAAAGCGUGGGGAGCGAACAGGAUUAGAUACCCUCGUAGUC